UACGACGGGGGCUAGCGUUGCUCGGAAUUACUGGGCGUAAAGGGCGCGUAGGCGGACAGUUUAGUCAGAGGUGAAAGCCCAGGGCUCAACCUUGGAACUGCCUUUGAUACUGGCUGUCUUGAGUUCGGGAGAGGUGAGUGGAAUGCCGAGUGUAGAGGUGAAAUUCGUAGAUAUUCGCAAGAACACCAGUGGCGAAGGCGGCUCACUGGCCCGAUACUGACGCUGAGGCACGAAAGCGUGGGGAGCAAACAGG
Molecule: ribosomal RNA, 253 nt
Filed under: uncultured bacterium
Lineage: Bacteria
Description: partial 16S ribosomal RNA
Rfam family: Bacterial small subunit ribosomal RNA
Source: RNAcentral